This 253-nucleotide ribosomal RNA is filed under the name uncultured bacterium. RNAcentral describes it as "partial 16S ribosomal RNA". It matches the Rfam family "Bacterial small subunit ribosomal RNA", at positions 524 to 776 of the family's 1533-position model. The record is from RNAcentral.
UACGUAGGGUGCGAGCGUUAAUCGGAAUUACUGGGCGUAAAGCGUGCGCAGGCGGCUUUGCAAGACAGAUGUGAAAUCCCCGGGCUUAACCUGGGAACUGCAUUUGUGACUGCAUGGCUGGAGUGCGGCAGAGGGGGGUGGAAUUCCGCGUGUAGCAGUGAAAUGCGUAGAGAUGCGGAGGAACACCGAUGGCGAAGGCAGCCCCCUGGGCUAACACUGACGCUCAGGCACGAAAGCGUGGGGAGCAAAACGG